Non-coding RNA from Vicia faba (fava bean), 174 nucleotides. The record is from the annotation of a GenBank genome assembly. NCBI's taxonomy places the organism in Eukaryota, Viridiplantae, Streptophyta, Magnoliopsida, Fabales, Fabaceae.
AUGCACAAGGCCAGAUCUCUCGUUGAGUGUUGGAAUUGUGAGUCGCUUCAUGGAAGAACCAGUUGUUGCACACUGAAAAGCUUUAAAGAGAAUCCUUCAAUAUGUCCAAGGAACUGUGUCACUUGGAAUGUUCUAUUCGAAAGCAGAAGAAUACAAGUUAACUGGCUACUCUGA